AUUGAACGCUGGCGGCAGGCUUAACACAUGCAAGUCGAGCGGGGUGAUGGUGCUUGCACUAUCACUUAGCGGCGGACGGGUGAGUAAUGCUUAGGAAUCUGCCUAUUAGUGGGGGACAACAUCUCGAAAGGGAUGCUAAUACCGCAUACGUCCUACGGGAGAAAGCAGGGGAUCGCUUGUGACCUUGCGCGAAUAGAUGAGCCUAAGUCGGAUUAGCUAGUUGGUGGGGUAAAGGCAUACCAAGGCGACGAUCUGUAGCGGGUCUGAGAGGAUGAUCCGCCACACUGGGACUGAGACACGGCCCAGACUCCUACGGGAGGCAGCAGUGGGGAAUAUUGGACAAUGGGGGGAACCCUGAUCCAGCCAUGCCGCGUGUGUGAAGAAGGCCUUAUGGUUGUGAAGCACUUUAAGCGAGGAGGAGGCUCUUUUGGUUAAUACCCAAGAUGAGUGGACGUUACUCGCAGAAUAAGCACCGGCUAACUCUGUGCCAGCCGCCGCAGUAA
RNAcentral lists this ribosomal RNA (503 nucleotides) under uncultured bacterium. Its description in RNAcentral is "partial 16S ribosomal RNA". It matches the Rfam family "Bacterial small subunit ribosomal RNA", at positions 30 to 523 of the family's 1533-position model. The record is from RNAcentral.